AGAGUUUGAUCCUGGCUCAGGAUGAACGCUAGCGGCAGGCUUAACACAUGCAAGUCGAGGGGUAACAGGGUGCUUGCACCGCUGACGACCGGCGCACGGGGGCGUAACGCGUACAAUCUACCUUUUACAGAGAGAUACCCCAGAGAAAUUUGGAAUAAUACCUCAUAAUAUUAUUGCUCGGCAUCGAGUGACAAUUAAAGUUUCGGCGGUAAAAGAUGAGUAUGCGUCCUAUUAGCUAGUUGGUAAGGUAACGGCUUACCAAGGCGACGAUAGGUAGGGGUCCUGAGAGGGAGAUCCCCCACACUGGUACUGAGACACGGACCAGACUCCUACGGGAGGCAGCAGUGAGGAAUAUUGGUCAAUGGGCGAAAGCCUGAACCAGCCAUGCCGCGUGCAGGAAGACUGCCCUAUGGGUUGUAAACUGCUUUUAUACAGGAAGAAACACUCCCUCGUGAGGGAGCUUGACGGUACUGUAUGAAUAAGCACCGGCUAACUCCGUGCCAGCAGCCGCGGUAAUACGGAGGGUGCAAGCGUUAUCCGGAAUCAUUGGGUUUAAAGGGUCCGUAGGCGGAUUAAUAAGUCAGAGGUGAAAUCCCACAGCUUAACUGUGGAACUGCCUUUGAUACUGUUAGUCUUGAGUUAUAUGGAAGUAGAUAGAAUGUGUAGUGUAGCGGUGAAAUGCAUAGAUAUUACACAGAAUACCGAUUGCGAAGGCAGUCUACUACGUAUAUACUGACGCUAAUGGACGAAAGCGUGGGGAGCGAACAGGAUUAGAUACCCUGGUAGUCCACGCCGUAAACGAUGGACACUAGUUGUUGGAGAAAUUCAGUGACUAAGCGAAAGUGAUAAGUGUCCCACCUGGGGAGUACGAUCGCAAGAUUGAAACUCAAAGGAAUUGACGGCGGGUGGCCCGCGCAAGCGGAGGAACAUGUGGUUUAAUUCGAUGAUACGCGAGGAACCUUACCUGGGCUUAAAUGUAGAUUGCAUAGGGUAGAAAUAUUCUUUCCCUUCGGGGCUAUUUACAAGGUGCUGCAUGGUUGUCGUCAGCUCGUGCCGUGAGGUGUCGGGUUAAGUCCCAUAACGAGCGCAACCCCUAUUGUUAGUUGCCAGCGGGUAAUGCCGGGAACUCUAACGAAACUGCCGGUGUAAACCGAGAGGAAGGUGGGGAUGACGUCAAAUCAGCACGGCCCUUAUGUCCAGGGCUACACACGUGUUACAAUGGUCGGUACAAAGGGCAGCUACUUGGUGACAAGAUGCUAAUCUCUAAAACCGGUCUCAGUUCGGAUCGAAGUCUGCAACUCGACUUCGUGAAGCUGGAUUCGCUAGUAAUCGCGCAUCAGCAAUGGCGCGGUGAAUACGUUCCCGGGCCUUGUACACACCGCCCGUCAAGCCAUGGAAGCUGGGGGUACCUGAAGUCUGUAACCGCAAGGAGCGGCCUAGGGUAAAACCAGUGACUGGGGCUAAGUCGUAACAAGGUAACC
RNAcentral lists this ribosomal RNA (1481 nucleotides) under uncultured bacterium. Its description in RNAcentral is "partial 16S ribosomal RNA". It matches the Rfam family "Bacterial small subunit ribosomal RNA". The record is from RNAcentral.